AGUUAAUCCUCGACAACUUACAGGUAAAUAUAUUUCUUUACCAAGAAAAAAGAAAUCUAUUGCUUACCUAGAAAAUAUUCUACACAAAUUAUAGUGAUACAAAUACAAAGAGGAAAUUUAGAAUCAAAGGACAAAAUCCAACAUGAAGGAACAUUGAUCAAUUUUUAUCAUCCCAGAGUGAAAACCAUGCUUCUUCUGAUAACGUUAUGCUCCAACGGCUCUAAAUUUCGUAAAAUCUAAGAAUUAGUGUUCUUUAUAAGUAAAAAUGUAAAGGCGUGUGAAUGAGAUCUCUCUGAAGACAAAUGUGUUGUCCUCUAUACUCCAAAACUUAUGCCUUUUUCUCACGAUUGCGUUUUGUAAAAGGAAUAAUAUAUUAUGGGGCACUUGGAAACAGAAAAAUCUCAACUGCAGCAAUUAUGAGUUGUGCGCUAUGCUAUAAGAAAUGCAGUUUUCCCACUAUCCCAAGAAUUAAUAAUCAUAUAAAGAAAAAAGUUAAAAUGGUACAGGGAUAAAGCACUCCUAAGGCAAGAGCCAGAAAUAGAGAGUGGAGCAUGAAAUUUAUGUGUUUUCUUAUAAUAUCAAGAAUUAUUCAUCAAAUGAACUCACCCAAAAAAUCCUUAUCCCGUACAUGAGAUAACCUAUUCUUCUAGCCACGAACAAAACUCUUAACUCAUAUUAAGCCCACUUUUAAAGCUAAUCAAG
RNAcentral lists this long non-coding RNA (702 nucleotides) under Olea europaea subsp. europaea. Lineage: Eukaryota; Viridiplantae; Streptophyta; Magnoliopsida; Lamiales; Oleaceae. The record is from RNAcentral.